This 118-nucleotide ribosomal RNA is filed under the name Pteropus alecto (black flying fox). Lineage: Eukaryota; Metazoa; Chordata; Mammalia; Chiroptera; Pteropodidae. The record is from RNAcentral.
CUCUACGGCCAUGCCACCCUGAACAAGCCCGAUCCCAUUUGAUUCAGAAGCUAAGCAGGGUCGGGCCUGGUUAGUACUUGGAUGGGAGACCACCUAGGAAGACCAGGUGCCAUAGGUG